RNAcentral lists this ribosomal RNA (275 nucleotides) under uncultured bacterium. RNAcentral describes it as "partial 16S ribosomal RNA". It matches the Rfam family "Bacterial small subunit ribosomal RNA", at positions 28 to 306 of the family's 1533-position model. The record is from RNAcentral.
GACGAACGCUGGCGGUGUGCUUAAUACAUGCAAGUCGAACGAAGAGGCCCUUUCGGGGGUACGUUCAGUGGCGGACGGCUGAGUAAUACAUAGGUAACGUGCCCUUUACUGGGGGAUAACACCGGGAAACGUGUGCUAAUACCGCAUAAGUGCCAGGUUGCAAUACCUGUCAUUAAAGAAUUUCGGUAAAGGAUCGGCCUGUGUCGGAUUAGCUUGUUGGUAGGGGUAAUGGCCUACCAAGGCGACGACCGUUAGUUGGUCUGAGAGGAUGACCA